CAAUAAACUGAUUUUAGUUUCAACCAUUUUAAUUAUUGAAGGUUAUACCUAGGGAUCUUUGAACCACGAUUAGAUCCGAAUACAUCAAGUUAACACAGUCUGCUGGAACGCGUAGUGGAUAUUUGCCUGCGUCUCUGAUGAUGGUAUAAUCGUGUGCGUGUUACGGGCGGCAGGCCUCCACAUGGACCAAUCAGAGAGAAGAUCUCACUUGGUGGGGAAGUGGCGUGAUCCUGUCGUCGUAUGACGUCUUCUGGCAAACAAUCAAUAAUGGCUCUUACCUAUAUGAUUUUCGAUUUAAAUACAUAUAUACAUUUGCAAAA
Molecule: long non-coding RNA, 320 nt
Organism: Athalia rosae (coleseed sawfly)
Lineage: Eukaryota; Metazoa; Arthropoda; Insecta; Hymenoptera; Athaliidae
Exons: 2
Source: RefSeq, a predicted model, not a curated record